This 397-nucleotide ribosomal RNA is filed under the name Pantoea dispersa. RNAcentral's name for it is "bacterial SSU rRNA". It matches the Rfam family "Bacterial small subunit ribosomal RNA", at positions 388 to 777 of the family's 1533-position model. Lineage: Bacteria; Pseudomonadati; Pseudomonadota; Gammaproteobacteria; Enterobacterales; Erwiniaceae. The record is from RNAcentral.
GCAGCCAUGCCGCGUGUAUGAAGAAGGCCUUCGGGUUGUAAAGUACUUUCAGCGGGGAGGAAGGCGGUGAGGUUAAUAACCUUGCCGAUUGACGUUACCCGCAGAAGAAGCACCGGCUAACUCCGUGCCAGCAGCCGCGGUAAUACGGAGGGUGCAAGCGUUAAUCGGAAUUACUGGGCGUAAAGCGCACGCAGGCGGUCUGUUAAGUCAGAUGUGAAAUCCCCGGGCUUAACCUGGGAACUGCAUUUGAAACUGGCAGGCUUGAGUCUCGUAGAGGGGGGUAGAAUUCCAGGUGUAGCGGUGAAAUGCGUAGAGAUCUGGAGGAAUACCGGUGGCGAAGGCGGCCCCCUGGACGAAGACUGACGCUCAGGUGCGAAAGCGUGGGGAGCAAACAGGA